ACGCGUUAAGUCGACCGCCUGGGGAGUACGGCCGCAAGGUUAAAACUCAAAUGAAUUGACGGGGGCCCGCACAAGCGGUGGAGCAUGUGGUUUAAUUCGAUGCAACGCGAAGAACCUUACCUACUCUUGACAUCCAGAGAACUUAGCAGAGAUGCUUUGGUGCCUUCGGGAACUCUGAGACAGGUGCUGCAUGGCUGUCGUCAGCUCGUGUUGUGAAAUGUUGGGUUAAGUCCCGCAACGAGAGCAACCCUUAUCCUUUGUUGCCAGCGGUUCGGCCGGGAACUCAAAGGAGACUGCCAGUGAUAAACUGGAGGAAGGUGGGGAUGACGUCAAGUCAUCAUGGCCCUUACGAGUAGGGCUACACACGUGCUACAAUGGCGCAUACAAAGAGAAGCGACCUCGCGAGAGCAAGCGGACCUCAUAAAGUGCGUCGUAGACCGGAUUGGAGUCUGCAACUCGACUCCAUGAAGUCGGAAUCGCUAGUAAUCGUAGAUCAGAAUGCUACGGUGAAUACGUUCCCGGGCCUUGUACACACCGCCCGUCACACCAUGGGAGUGGGUUGCAAAAGAAGUAGGUAGCUUAACCUUCGGGAGGGCGCUUACCACUUUGUGAUUCAUGACUGGGGUG
Molecule: ribosomal RNA, 627 nt
Filed under: uncultured Gammaproteobacteria bacterium
Lineage: Bacteria; Pseudomonadati; Pseudomonadota; Gammaproteobacteria
Description: bacterial SSU rRNA
Rfam family: Bacterial small subunit ribosomal RNA
Source: RNAcentral